AUGAACGCUAGCUACAGGCUUAACACAUGCAAGUCGAGGGGCAGCAUGAAUCAAGCUUGCUUGAUUGAUGGCGACCGGCGCACGGGUGCGUAACACGUAUCCAAUCUACCCAUGGCUCAGGGAUAGCCUUUCGAAAGAAAGAUUAAUACCUGAUGGUUUCAUGAGCCCGCAUGGACUUAUGAAUAAAGAUUUAUCGGCGAUGGAUGAGGAUGCGUCCGAUUAGAUAGUAGGCGGGGUAACGGCCCACCUAGUCGACGAUCGGUAGGGGCUCUGAGAGGAGGAUCCCCCACAUUGGAACUGAGACACGGUCCAAACUCCUACGGGAGGCAGCAGUGAGGAAUAUUGGUCAAUGGGCGAGAGCCUGAACCAGCCAAGUAGCGUGAGGGAAUGACUGCCCUAUGGGUUGUAAACCUCUUUUGUUUGGGAAUAAAGUGAGCCACGUGUGGCUUUUUGUAUGUACCUUACGAAUAAGCAUCGGCUAAUUCCGUGCCAGCAGCUGC
Molecule: ribosomal RNA, 500 nt
Filed under: uncultured bacterium
Lineage: Bacteria
Description: bacterial SSU rRNA
Rfam family: Bacterial small subunit ribosomal RNA
Source: RNAcentral